GUGUCACUAAGUCCAGCUAAUUUUUGUAUUUUUAGUAGAGACAGGGUUUUGCUAUGUUGGCCAGACUGGUCUUGAACUCCUGGCCUCAAGUGAUCUGCCUGCCUCGGCCUCCCAAAGUGUUGGGAUUACAGGUGUGAGCUACUGCGCAUGGCCUAUUUUAUUAUUAGUUAUUGUUGUUAAUCUCUUACUGUGCCUAAAUUAUAAAUUAAAUUUUAUCAUGGAGAAAAACAGUCUAUACCGGGUUCAGUGCUAUCUCAGGUCUCAGGCGUCCACUAGGGAUCUUGGAACGUAUCCCCUGAAGAUAAGGAAGGACCCCACCGCUCCGCUGGAAUUCAAAAUAACCCGCCCACUCCACAGUGAGGUGGCCUGGUGCUGCUGCCCUGGAGAACACCUGGAGGAGAACCAAGACCCCCGAUGAACGGCUCUCAGCCUAGUGUGCAUAUGAGAAUCACACAGGGAGUUCCAACACACACCAACCCCUGUGCCCGACCCAGACCCUGGGAGACCGCUGAGUGCGGGCCACAAGUGCUGGCCCCCAGGGAGUUCUAAUCAUUGGCCAAAGUCGGGGUGAACAGCCGAACUCCUUCUCACCCAUCAAUGCCACUUCAGAUACCACUUCCUCGGCAAGCCUUUCCUGACUUCCUCUAGUGGGGGUAGGUCCCUCAUUCAUUCAUUCGUUCAUUCAUUCAUUCCACAAACCAUCACGCCCCUUGCAUGCACCGGGCCCUGUGCUGGUGCUGGGGAUUCAGCUGUGAGGCCAGGUAAGGUUUUUGCCCUCGUGGUGUUUCUCUGCAGAAACAUGGAGGAAACAAGUGGUGAAAAGUCAGGACAGACGAUGUCAGGGUGUGAUGAAAAUAAAACAGAACGACGAUGAAAAUAAAACAGGACUAAAGAGCAUUAAUUAAUUAGAGACAGGGUCUGACAGUCACAGUCUGACAGAGCCAGGUAUGGUGGCGGGUGCCUGUUGUCUCAGCUACUAGGGAGGAUUACCUGAGCCCAGGAGUUUGAGGCUGCAUCUAAAAAAAAAAAAAGGAGGCAAGAAAUUCGGAUUGUGGACCUUUUGCUUUUUUUUAGAUACUUUUUUUUUUUUUUUUUGAGACGGAGUCUCGCUCUGUCGCCCAGGCGGAGUGGUGGGCGAUGGCUCCUGCGCGUCCGGGUUACGAUUCUGCUCAGCCUCGAGUAGCUGGGACUACAGGCGCCCAACGCGCCGGUAUUUUUUGUAUUUUAGUAGACGGUUUCCGUGGUCUCGAUUCUGACCUUUGUCGCCGCUCAGCUCCAAAGUGCUGGGAUUACAGGCAUGAGCCACGGCGCCCGGCC
This 1317-nucleotide long non-coding RNA is filed under the name Macaca mulatta (Rhesus monkey). Its description in RNAcentral is "lncRNA (ENSMMUG00000051664.1)". Lineage: Eukaryota; Metazoa; Chordata; Mammalia; Primates; Cercopithecidae. The record is from RNAcentral.